AUUACUUACAAUGUGAUUAUUGGGUUUUCUAUUGCUACUGUUUGUAGCUUAUUUUUGAAUUUGCUCAAUAAAAAAAUAUAGUGCAAAGAAGUAGUUAACAAAACAGACACAUAUAGUGUAGUUUAAUGAAUAAACUACUGGAUACAUACAAUGAUUAAUAUUCAAAAACGGCACAAAGUUAUAAUUUGACUUGCCAUUUUUUAUGCUCCAAAUAUAUGAAUGAAUGACAUGAACACAUAUACCAGGUUAAUUACUAAAAUAGAAAUUCUAAGUAAAUUCCAAGUCAAUUUCAAAUGUAGGACCAGAGUAACA
Pelobates cultripes (western spadefoot toad) is the source of this 312-nucleotide non-coding RNA. The record is from the annotation of a GenBank genome assembly. Lineage: Eukaryota; Metazoa; Chordata; Amphibia; Anura; Pelobatidae.